This 510-nucleotide ribosomal RNA is filed under the name uncultured Verrucomicrobiota bacterium. RNAcentral describes it as "bacterial SSU rRNA". It matches the Rfam family "Bacterial small subunit ribosomal RNA", at positions 1001 to 1503 of the family's 1533-position model. Lineage: Bacteria; Pseudomonadati; Verrucomicrobiota. The record is from RNAcentral.
GUGAAGCCGGCGAGUGUAGCAAUACACAAUUUGCACAGGUGCUGCAAGGCUGUCGUCAGCUCGUGUCGUGAGAUGUUGGGUUAAGUCCCGCAACGAGCGCAACCCCUGUGAACUGUUGCCAUCCGGGAGCGAUCCCGGAGCACUCUGUUCAGACUGCCCUGUGAAACGGGGAGGAAGGUGGGGAUGACGUCAAGUCAGCAUGGCCCUUACGGCCAGGGCUGCACACGUACUACAAUGCUCAGCACAGAACGAUCCGAAACCGCGAGGUGGAGGAAAUCCCAAAAACUGAGCCCAAUUCGGAUCGCAGGCUGCAACUCGCCUGCGUGAAGCCGGAAUCGCUAGUAAUGGCGCAUCAGCUACGGCGCCGUGAAUACGUUCCCGGGCCUUGUACACACCGCCCGUCACAUCAUGGAAGUCAUUUGUACCCGAAGUGCAUGCGCCAACCCGCAAGGGAGGCAGUGCCCUAAGGUAUGAGGGGUAACUGGGAUGAAGUCGUAACAAGGUAGCCGU